AUUGAACGCUGGCGGCAGGCCUAACACAUGCAAGUCGAGCGGAUGAAGGGAGCCUGCUCCUGGAUUCAGCGGCGGACGGGUGAGUAAUGCCUAGGAAUCUGCCUGGUAGUGGGGGAUAACGUCCGGAAACGGGCGCUAAUACCGCAUACGUCCUGAGGGAGAAAGUGGGGGAUCUUCGGACCUCACGCUAUCAGAUGAGCCUAGGUCGGAUUAGCUAGUUGGUGGGGUAAUGGCCUACCAAGGCGACGAUCCGUAACUGGUCUGAGAGGAUGAUCAGUCACACUGGAACUGAGACACGGUCCAGACUCCUACGGGAGGCAGCAGUGGGGAAUAUUGGACAAUGGGCGAAAGCCUGAUCCAGCCAUGCCGCGUGUGUGAAGAAGGUCUUCGGAUUGUAAAGCACUUUAAGUUGGGAGGAAGGGCAGUAAGUUAAUACCUUGCUGUUUUGACGUUACCAACAGAAUAAGCACCGGCUAACUUCGUG
Molecule: ribosomal RNA, 484 nt
Filed under: uncultured bacterium
Lineage: Bacteria
Description: partial 16S ribosomal RNA
Rfam family: Bacterial small subunit ribosomal RNA
Source: RNAcentral